UUGGGGUGUGCGUAAAAAUCUGAAUUUCAGAUUUUUGAUCUUUUAGAUUUGGGAAGAGGGAAUAAAUUAGAAGAAAAUUGCUUUCUUCUCCAUCUUUCUUCUACCUCUUCAUCUCCUCUAGAAGUUUAUCUUCAAUCUCUGAAAAGAUUUUAAAGAUUUAAAAAAAAAAUCCAGAUCAACCAAGAAGAAGAUCUUCGCACGAGCUAGCACUCCCGAGAAGAUCGAUCAGAUUGAAGCUUCGAGUGGAUUUUCUGUAGAG
Molecule: long non-coding RNA, 259 nt
Filed under: Elaeis guineensis (African oil palm)
Lineage: Eukaryota; Viridiplantae; Streptophyta; Magnoliopsida; Arecales; Arecaceae
Description: long non-coding RNA (EGUI_LNC052531)
Source: RNAcentral